CAGCCGCCGCGGGAAUACGUAGGUGGCGAGCGUUGUCCGGAAUUAUUGGGCGUAAAGGGAGCGCAGGCGGGCGAGUAAGUCUUUCUUAAAAGUGCGGGGCUCAACCCCGUGAGGGGAGAGAAACUACUCAUCUUGAGUGCAGGAGAGGAGAGCGGAAUUCCUAGUGUAGCGGUGAAAUGCGUAGAUAUUAGGAAGAACACCAGUGGCGAAGGCGGCUUUCUGGACUGUAACUGACGCUGAGGCUCGAAAGCCAGGGGAGCGAACGGGAUUAGAUACCCCCGUAGUCCCUGUCUCUUAUACC
This 301-nucleotide ribosomal RNA is filed under the name uncultured bacterium. RNAcentral describes it as "partial 16S ribosomal RNA". It matches the Rfam family "Bacterial small subunit ribosomal RNA", at positions 509 to 808 of the family's 1533-position model. The record is from RNAcentral.